RNAcentral lists this ribosomal RNA (452 nucleotides) under uncultured bacterium. RNAcentral's name for it is "bacterial SSU rRNA". It matches the Rfam family "Bacterial small subunit ribosomal RNA", at positions 28 to 466 of the family's 1533-position model. The record is from RNAcentral.
GAUGAACGCUAGCUACAGGCUUAACACAUGCAAGUCGCGGGGCAGCAUGAAUUUAGCUUGCUAAAUUUGAUGGCGACCGGCGCACGGGUGAGUAACGCGUAUCCAACCUUCCCCUGUCCACGGGAUAGCCCGUCGAAAGGCGGAUUAAUACCGUAUGAGGUCACACGAUGGCAUCAGACUGUGACGAAAGGUUUAGCGGACAGGGAUGGGGAUGCGUCCGAUUAGGUAGUCGGCGGGGUAACGGCCCACCGAGCCGACGAUCGGUAGGGGUUCUGAGNGGAAGGUCCCCCACAUUGGAACUGAGACACGGUCCAAACUCCUACGGGAGGCAGCAGUGAGGAAUAUUGGUCAAUGGGCGCGAGCCUGAACCAGCCAAGUCGCGUGAGGGAAGACGGGCCCUAACGGGGUUGUAAACCUCUUUUGCCGGGGAGCAACGCUGCGGACGCGUCCGC